Molecule: long non-coding RNA, 804 nt
Organism: Suricata suricatta (meerkat)
Lineage: Eukaryota; Metazoa; Chordata; Mammalia; Carnivora; Herpestidae
Exons: 2
Source: RefSeq, a predicted model, not a curated record
GACAGCGGGCAUUUGCCCCGUGACCACCUUCUCCCCACCCCGGCUCAGAACCCACCCCACCCUCCCCUCUCCGGCUCAGAGCCCAUCUGCAGAAGGCACACGCAUGAGCGGUUGACUGGGUGAAGCCCAGGACCCUCCCAGAGCCAAGUGGAGCCAACCGGAUGAAAGCCUGGGGAGCACAGAGGCGGCCCCUGGGAAGGAAGGCAUCUCCCGGCUGCCCCGCGGAAUGCGGACUGGGGUUUGCAACUUCCUCUCUGGUCUGAAUCCCCAGCCAGCCCGGUGCCCUCCCUGCGGGCUCAGCAGCCGUGGUCUGUCCCGGGUGUGCGUGCUUCUGUGGGAGGUCACAUGUGUCCACGUCCCACUCACGAGGUCUCCCUGAGGACCCGCCCAGCGCUGAGGGUCCGUGCCGUCUCUGCGGUCGGGCCAGAUGGCCACACGCUCCGGAGGACAGGGUGCCGGGGCCUCAUGCGUCCUCUGGACACUCAACAAGCUUAUGAAACAGUGAGGAAAAAUCAACACUGUCGGCUCAUAACAACUGGCCUGGGCCCGCCCCCCAGGAAGCCAGCCUAGCAGGGACCCAGCCCCCACUGCCCCCAGCGUCCGGGCACAGGAGGAGAAGAACGGGCCUCUCCCGCAGCCGCCGCCCAUCUGUGAGGCCCGAGCCACUCCCUUCCCUUUCGGCCUCCGAGGUGCCCUGCCUCCCGCGCUGGGCCGCUGGGGGUCACGGGGUGGGUACCGGCCCUUUGCUCACCUUCCCACCAUCCCCUCCCUCCUCUGGUAAAAACACGCUCGGAUUUCAGGAUA